AGCUGAUGUCUGGUUGAGGUUAUAUUACUGAGGGCAACGAGAGGCCAGGUUAUCCAAGACCGGAAACAGACAAUACCAGAAAAGGACUCAGGAUGACUCCAGUAAAAGACAGCACUGCAAAAACGGAACUAAAUCAGGUCAAGCUGCGGCACAGAGGCUUGUCAGUCAUCCUGAUGAGCUGUCUGCCUUGAAACAGCCUCUGGCCUGAGGCGGAGGUAGCAGGAAAGCCACUGCCGACAAUCAGAGAGGACAAAGAGGACUCGCUUAUCUGCUGUCUGAGAAAAGGCAACAUUUGAACAGCUCGCAGCCUGUGAGUGUCUGCUUUCAUUUGCCGGCUCGCCUUUGAUUUUCUCUGAUGUGUUUCUGUCAGCGGAGAUGUCGGCAGAGUGUCGACAGCGAGGGGAGAAUAAGCAGGUCAUUUGCUGGAUGCUAUCUGACAGGCCGCAGAAGGCCCGUCCAUCUCAAAGUUCAGCACGGCAGUCGCCGCUGACGGUGCCCCGCUCUGCACUGCCAGAUAAUGUGACAGAACAAGACAGUGAUGAGCUGAGAUGGCGGCUGAGACGAGCUGACUUUUACCGCAGACGCUUGACAGAAGGGUCAAAAACAAACCAAGUUCCGUCCUUUUGUUCUUGCACAGCACAUUGUUUGCCAUUCCUCUUGAUAAGGCUGUGCAACAGGAGGAUUCAUGGCAAAACAAAAAGGCUGAAUGUUUUUUUUUCUUUCUGAAUCUAAAUGUAAUGCCUAUUUAUGCCUUCACAUUUAGGUUUUAAAGUAAAGUUACUAUAAGCAGCGAUAGGUGCAAUUUUUCUUCGCCAUAUUUCAAAACAUUGAUUGAUUGGCCAAUAAUAACAACAGUGGAUCUUUGACUAUUUAGAAAAAAAAUAACAAGUCUUUAAGAAGUUAAGUAUGAAAUUGGAGUUGCUUGUUUCCUCUUUAUUGGUUAACACAUAAAGAUUCUACAUUUUCUCAUUAGGUUACCUUACAUCUCUACAGAUUUAAUUUUUUCACUCGGGGCAUGUUGCUCUUUUUGCACAUUAACACAUGUGGAGUAAAUCUGGUACAUACUUUGCUUAACAAUCUAGAAAACCACACACAAAAGGCUGUU
This is a long non-coding RNA of Fundulus heteroclitus (mummichog), 1105 nucleotides long. RefSeq lists it as uncharacterized. NCBI's taxonomy places the organism in Eukaryota, Metazoa, Chordata, Actinopteri, Cyprinodontiformes, Fundulidae. The record is from RefSeq and is a predicted model, not a curated record. The transcript is spliced from 3 exons.